Long non-coding RNA from Rhododendron vialii, 725 nucleotides. RefSeq lists it as uncharacterized. The record is from RefSeq and is a predicted model, not a curated record. The transcript has 2 exons. Lineage: Eukaryota; Viridiplantae; Streptophyta; Magnoliopsida; Ericales; Ericaceae.
CUUCGUUUGGAAAAGAAAAGCGUGCGGGGACGGUGCUACCAUAUGAUCAAGGGGUUCAAGCCAACCCCUGGGUUCAAAAAAUGCAACAAAGUUAGUUUAUUUUUAGAGAUAAUAUGGUAUCUCUUUAAUAUUGUCUGCAUUCAUUGGAUCAUUCGUAAAAAGAAAGAGUAAAUGAGAAUCUACUUAAAUUUGUGAGUAAGUGUAUAAUAUAACCCGACAAAACAAAAUAAAACGGACCCAAUAAAUUUUCACCCAAAAUAAAGAUAACUACAGAGUUUCGUUUACGAAUUUUGUUUUGUGCAUUUUUGUCACUGCUAAACUAAAAUCCUAGAGCCAUUAAUACAUCCGAUUUGGGGAAGUUAGGGUUCAACUGGUGGUCGUACUUUUUUGUUUGCUUUCGUUUUUUCCCAUGAUGAGGACUCCCCUGAAAAAAAUCCGGGUAUAUGUGCACCCGAUCACAUACGGAGACCAGCAAAGCCAAGACCCGUGCGAGUUGAGAAGACCUUAACUUCUUUAGGUAAAAAAAAAUUACUUGUUAGCCAAUGCCAAAUUCCUGCAACUUGCGGCUUUCAAUAUUUUGUCCAGUCAGAACAUUGAUUUUAGACUUUAGAUUUUGGGUGGUUAUUUUUAUUACCUUAUGUGGUUAAGCCCAAAAUUGCAUAACAUAGAUUUAACGCAUUCAUGCAGUCAAAUUUUAGUUAGAUAUAUACUUACUUGGUUUGGUU